This 287-nucleotide unclassified non-coding RNA is filed under the name fungal sp. Its description in RNAcentral is "partial internal transcribed spacer region". The stretch from base 1 to 46 matches the Rfam family "Eukaryotic small subunit ribosomal RNA", at positions 1786 to 1831 of the family's 1831-position model. Lineage: Eukaryota; Fungi. The record is from RNAcentral.
AAGUCGUAACAAGGUUUCCGUAGGUGAACCUGCGGAAGGAUCAUUAACAAAUAUAAACCUUUUUUGUUUAUAUUAUUAAUAAUAAUAACCGUGUUCUGUUUUUUUUAUUGUUAAUCUUUGGCAAUUACUUUCUUGAAAAAGAAGUUUGCCAAAGUUUUUUUUUAAAACAUACUAUUUUAUUAACUGAAAAUUAUAAAAUUUUUUUAUAGUCUUUUUUUGAAAUGGGCGAAAUAAAAAAAUUAUAAAUAAUUUAAUACAACUGUUAACAACGGAUCACUUGGUUCUCA